Molecule: small nuclear RNA, 23 nt
Filed under: Arabidopsis thaliana (thale cress)
Lineage: Eukaryota; Viridiplantae; Streptophyta; Magnoliopsida; Brassicales; Brassicaceae
Description: snRNA_14803
Source: RNAcentral
ACAGCGAACUGAGUUUGAGCGAA